GAGUUGGGCAGGCGGUAGGGGCGACCUGGGAGAAGGUCCCUGCUGCAGACGUGGAAAUGCAUCUUGUUCCAGUACAUCACAUUCCAGGGAGCAAAGAAUUCUUUUACAAAGCCGGGUGUCAUCAUUUUCUUAGAAGAAGAACCAUUGCAACAGGGCUCAAAGUUGACUCUGCUGGAAAGGCAAGGGACAGGGAAAUGAUGAUAACAUAAGCAGCCGGCUGUGUCAUUCCUUCCAUUUGUAUC
RNAcentral lists this long non-coding RNA (242 nucleotides) under Homo sapiens (human). RNAcentral's name for it is "long intergenic non-protein coding RNA 2405". Lineage: Eukaryota; Metazoa; Chordata; Mammalia; Primates; Hominidae. The record is from RNAcentral.